ACUCACCCCCCCCAUUCUCCACCUUCACCCCCUUGCCACCCAUCUCCUUUGAGAUAAAAGAAAAAAGGCUAAGUUUUUUCUCCUCCUGAGUUCUUCAUAUGAGAUUGAGCUUGCAAAGUCCGCCGUGAUCGCCGCGGCCGCCGCGCAGAGCGGCGCGGCUCCGCAUUACCACCACCACCACCACCACCACCACGCCGCCAGCCACCACCACCACCCGACGGCCGGCGCACCGGGCGCCGCGGGCAGCGCGUCCGCCUCGGCCGGGGCGCGGGCGGCUCGGGCGGCGGCUCAGGCGGCCCGGCCAGCGCCGGGGCGGCGGCGGCGGAGGAGGAGGCGGCGGCGGGGGCGCAGCGGGGGCGGGGGGCGCCCUGCACCCUCAUCACGCCGCGGCCGGCGGCCUGCACUUCGACGACCGCUUCUCCGACGAGCAGCUGGUGACCAUGUCGGUGCGCGAGCUGAACCGGCAGCUGCGCGGGGUCAGCAAGGAGGAGGUGAUUCGGCUGAAGCAGAAAAGGCGGACCCUGAAAAACCGCGGCUAUGCCCAGUCCUGCCGCUUCAAGAGGGUGCAGCAGAGGCACGUCCUGGAGUCCGAGAAGAACCAGCUGCUGCAGCAGGUCGACCACCUCAAGCAGGAGAUCUCCAGGCUGGUGCGCGAGAGGGACGCGUACAAGGAGAAGUACGAGAAGCUAGUGAGCAGCGGCUUCCGAGAAAACGGCUCGAGCAGCGACAACCCGUCCUCUCCCGAGUUUUUCAUGUACCCAAGGGAAUCCUCUACAUCAGUGAUGUGAAAAAUCCUGUUGCCCGAAGUCAAAGAGAUGUUCCUGAUAUUCUCUCAGACCCACCCGGAUGCAUCCGAGCCUUAACAGAGCUGCCCUGGGGCAGGGCAGGUGGGACACACACAGGGGAGAGGCCUGUUUGUAGCUUUCCCGUCACUCGUGGGAGAUUCCUGAUGGAAUUCAUACAAACAGCUCUGCCCCAGGUUCUAAGUACCCAUCAGUUUUUCUUUCUUCCUAAUCUUACAGUUAGCUGGGUGGAAAAUGUUUUAUCCUGA
Molecule: long non-coding RNA, 1051 nt
Filed under: Bos grunniens (domestic yak)
Lineage: Eukaryota; Metazoa; Chordata; Mammalia; Artiodactyla; Bovidae
Description: lncRNA (ENSBGRG00000023784.1)
Source: RNAcentral